UAAGAACGCAUUGCAGGUCAGCUGGCUGAACCUCAUUGUGACCUGGGAGCCCUGCAUGAUGAAGGGAUGAUGGGUGAGCUACCAAGGCUAACUUUUUCCUGAGGACAUUGAGUUAGGGAAGUGGCCUCUCCUUGAGGGAAGGAGCCAGAUGACUUCUCAGAGAACAACAACCAUAUUCAAAAUAUUCUCAAGUUUCUUUUGUUUCUUCUUGUCUGCAUCUGAUAUCCAGGACAUUAUUCCACAGGAAAAGGUUAACAGGAGAUCAAGAUCGGCCAGGAGAACCCCACUAUGAAGCCGGUCAGGUGGGGAGACAGCACUUCCAUUCUCUUUAAAUGACAGAAAUGUCUAAUUUCUGAGACUCUCUGUCUUGUGGAGCACUGUCGUCUUCAUGGACACAGGCAGGAUGGCAAGGCUAAGAGGAGGAUUGCAAGUGAUUCAGGUUGGAGGAAAUAUUGGGGGAAAGAAAUUUUCUCAGACUGCCCUUCCGACGUGGCAUGGAUCGUGGAGAAGGGUCUGGCUCUUAUCACCUCUGAAUAGCAUGCCAUUCUCUUAG
RNAcentral lists this long non-coding RNA (553 nucleotides) under Pan troglodytes (chimpanzee). RNAcentral's name for it is "lncRNA (ENSPTRG00000053910.1)". Lineage: Eukaryota; Metazoa; Chordata; Mammalia; Primates; Hominidae. The record is from RNAcentral.